This 321-nucleotide long non-coding RNA is filed under the name Elaeis guineensis (African oil palm). Its description in RNAcentral is "long non-coding RNA (EGUI_LNC082041)". The record is from RNAcentral. Lineage: Eukaryota; Viridiplantae; Streptophyta; Magnoliopsida; Arecales; Arecaceae.
CUCCUCUCUUCCUCCUCUAGAUCUCUUCAUCCUUUGGAGCAUCCAAGGUGCUUGAAGAAAAAGAAAGAGAUUAACCGUUGAAGUUGCUUGUAGGUUAGCACUUCCAAGCCCCUGAUCUAUACCAGUCUUCGCGUGGAUUUUCUUGUAGAGGUCAGAUGACUUCGUGUGGCUACAAGUGACCUGAAGAAUAUUUUUUUCAAGUGUUGGAGCAGCAAAGAUCAAGAUCUCAUUGGUUUGGUAAUUAUUUCUAACCUGUCUUGAUCAUAUCAUUAGAUCUAAUAGUUAGAUCUAGAAUUUCAACAUCGAUGAGAUCAAUGUGAG